UACGGAGGGUGCAAGCGUUGCUCGGAAUUAUUGGGCGUAAAGGGCAGGUAGGUGGUCUCAUUUGUCUGGGGUGAAAGCCUUGAGCUUAACUCAAGAAGUGCCCCAGAAACGGUGAGACUAGAGGUCUGGAGAGGGUCGUGGAAUUCCCGGUGUAGCGGUGAAAUGCGUAGAGAUCGGGAGGAACCCCAGAGGCGAAAGCGGCGACCUUGACAGAUACUGACACUCAACUGCGUAAGCGUGGGGAGCAAACAGG
Molecule: ribosomal RNA, 253 nt
Filed under: uncultured bacterium
Lineage: Bacteria
Description: partial 16S ribosomal RNA
Rfam family: Bacterial small subunit ribosomal RNA
Source: RNAcentral